This 516-nucleotide ribosomal RNA is filed under the name uncultured Eubacteriales bacterium. RNAcentral's name for it is "bacterial SSU rRNA". It matches the Rfam family "Bacterial small subunit ribosomal RNA", at positions 1 to 507 of the family's 1533-position model. Lineage: Bacteria; Bacillati; Bacillota; Clostridia; Eubacteriales. The record is from RNAcentral.
UAGGAGUUUCGAGUCCCUGGACUACAGGGAUGAACGCUAGGCGGUGCGCCUAACACAUAGCAAGGUCGAACGAAGGAUUGUGAAGGAACUUUACGGAGGGAAACUACAAUGACUGAGUGGCGGACGGGUGAGUAACGCGUAGGGAACCUGGCCCUUACAGGGGGAUAACAGAUGGAAACAACUGACUAAUACCGCAUAAGCGACCCAGCCUCGCAUGAGGCAGAGUGAAAAACUAAGGUGGUAAGGGAUGGACCCUGCGUCCGAUUAGCUAGUUGGUAUGGUAACGGCAUACCUAAGGCGACGAUCGGUAGCCGGCCUGAGAGGGUGGACGGCCACAUUGGGACUGGAGACACGGCCCAAACGUCCUACGGGAGGCAGCAGUGGGGGAUAUUGCACAAUGGGGGAAACCCUGAUGCAGCGACACCGCGUGGGUGAAGAAGCGCUUCGGCGUGUAAAGCCCUAUCAGUGGGAAGAAAAAGGACGGUACCCAAAGAAGAAGCACCGGCUAAAUACGUG